UGCUUAGGAAUUUGCCUUUGUGUGGGGGAUAACUAUUGGAAACGAUAGCUAAUACCGCAUAACACCUACGGGUCAAAGGGGGCUUCGGCUCCCGCGCGAAGAGAAGCCUAAGUGAGAUUAGCUUGUUGGUGAGGUAAUGGCUCACCAAGGCGACGAUCUCUAGCUGGUUUGAGAGGAUGAUCAGCCACACUGGGACUGAGACACGGCCCAGAUUCCUACGGGAGGCAGCAGUGGGGAAUAUUGCACAAUGGGGGAAACCCUGAUGCAGCCAUGCCGCGUGUGUGAAGAAGGCCUUCGGUU
RNAcentral lists this ribosomal RNA (300 nucleotides) under uncultured Gammaproteobacteria bacterium. RNAcentral's name for it is "bacterial SSU rRNA". It matches the Rfam family "Bacterial small subunit ribosomal RNA", at positions 114 to 423 of the family's 1533-position model. The record is from RNAcentral. Lineage: Bacteria; Pseudomonadati; Pseudomonadota; Gammaproteobacteria.